RNAcentral lists this ribosomal RNA (464 nucleotides) under Vreelandella stevensii. RNAcentral's name for it is "partial 16S ribosomal RNA". It matches the Rfam family "Bacterial small subunit ribosomal RNA", at positions 338 to 795 of the family's 1533-position model. The record is from RNAcentral. Lineage: Bacteria; Pseudomonadati; Pseudomonadota; Gammaproteobacteria; Oceanospirillales; Halomonadaceae.
CCUAGGGAGGCAGCAGUGGGGAAUAUUGGACAAUGGGCGAAAGCCUGAUCCAGCCAUGCCGCGUGUGUGAAGAAGGCCUUCGGGUUGUAAAGCACUUUCAGUGGGGAAGAAAGCCUUGGGGCUAAUACCCUCGAGGAAGGACAUCACCCACAGAAGAAGCACCGGCUAACUCCGUGCCAGCAGCCGCGGUAAUACGGAGGGUGCGAGCGUUAAUCGGAAUUACUGGGCGUAAAGCGCGCGUAGGCGGUCUGAUAAGCCGGUUGUGAAAGCCCCGGGCUCAACCUGGGAACGGCAUCCGGAACUGUCAGGCUAGAGUGCAGGAGAGGAAGGUAGAAUUCCCGGUGUAGCGGUGAAAUGCGUAGAGAUCGGGAGGAAUACCAGUGGCGAAGGCGGCCUUCUGGACUGACACUGACGCUGAGGUGCGAAAGCGUGGGUAGCAAACAGGAUUAGAUACCCCAGUCGUC